RNAcentral lists this ribosomal RNA (496 nucleotides) under uncultured bacterium. Its description in RNAcentral is "partial 16S ribosomal RNA". It matches the Rfam family "Bacterial small subunit ribosomal RNA", at positions 28 to 507 of the family's 1533-position model. The record is from RNAcentral.
GAUGAACGCUGGCGGCGUGCCUAAUACAUGCAAGUCGAGCGAACAGACGAGGAGCUUGCUCCUCUGACGUUAGCGGCGGACGGGUGAGUAACACGUGGAUAACCUACCUAUAAGACUGGGAAACUUCGGGAAACCGGAGCUAAUACCGGAUAAUAUAUUGAACCGCAUGGUUCAAUAGUGAAAGACGGUUUUGCUGUCACUUAUAGAUGGAUCCGCGCCGCAUUAGCUAGUUGGUAAGGUAACGGCUUACCAAGGCAACGAUGCGUAGCCGACCUGAGAGGGUGAUCGGCCACACUGGAACUGAGACACGGUCCAGACUCCUACGGGAGGCAGCAGUAGGGAAUCUUCCGCAAUGGGCGAAAGCCUGACGGAGCAACGCCGCGUGAGUGAUGAAGGUCUUCGGAUCGUAAAACUCUGUUAUUAGGGAAGAACAAAUGUGUAAGUAACUAUGCACGUCUUGACGGUACCUAAUCAGAAAGCCACGGCUAACUACGUG